Molecule: long non-coding RNA, 265 nt
Filed under: Oryza sativa (Asian cultivated rice)
Lineage: Eukaryota; Viridiplantae; Streptophyta; Magnoliopsida; Poales; Poaceae
Description: long non-coding RNA (OSAT_LNC000682)
Source: RNAcentral
CUGGAUCUCCUCCGUCGACUGCCUGUGCGCGAUCGGCGCCGCCGGCCUCAACCGCAGCGUCUCCUUGUACGCCGCCUGCAGAUACGGCAGUCUCGGCAGGUCCCCCUCGCCGGCGAUCCUGUCCCGCCCCACCACCGCCUCGAUCUCCUCCCGCACCUUGCGCAGGGCCUCCGGGUGGUUCAUCAGCUCCGCCACCAUCCACUCCACCAUGGCGGCCGAAGUGUCGGACCCGGCAGUAACAACGUCCUGAUCGAUCGAGUGCAUC